GGCACCCCGGGCCGCCGGCGGCCAGAGGAGAGCUCACGUGCACUGUUCUCCGAAGAAAACGAGACCAUACAAUAAACGGCUCUUUUAUUUAUAAAAAAGCCCCGGGAGCAGUCUUCAGGGCUGCAGGAUCCAGUUCUCUCUGCGUCCCGCGGGGAAGUCGGCCUCACGCCCCCCUGCCUGGGCUGGGGCGCCCCUCGGGGCGCUCGAGCACCGCCGCCCGCGCAGCCUCUGCCCUUCCUCUGUGUCCCCGGCUGCCCGAGGUCGCCCGAGGUCGUCACCACGGAGAGCCGAGCACCAGCCCGCCCCCCGCCCGCCCCGGGAAAGUGUGUGGUCAGCUCGGAGAGGGAACUCAGCCUGCCACCUGUGCUGUCCCCUACCCUGCCCCGCGGCCACCUCCUCUGGGAGGAAGGCUCCCGAAGGCCGCUGGGUCGGAGGACGGUACCGGCCCUUUGCUGGGGGCUAGCAGCCCGCGGGGGGCCGAGAAGGGGUCUCAGAUGUGGCGGGGAGGGGCCAGCCUGCGGGAGGGUCGGGGAGGCUGGAGGGAACUGUUGAUAAAUCUUGGCUCUUCCUGCUUCUCCCCUUUUUGCCAAACACCUUUUGGGCCCCCGAAGGCUGCCGAGGGGGCUCAUCUGUGGGGCCCACCUGCUCCUUGGUGCAAGUUCCCUGCCUUGCCUUCCCCCUGCCCUUGGCAGCUGCCCCCUCACCCCAUCCCACCUGGUCUAGCGCAGAUAUCCACAGCUCAGCCCCCAGUCCUGCAUGCUGGAGAUUUCUGGAUCCUUCCCUGGGAGGGGGAGGUCUCCUAACCAGAUUGGACAGGAGCCUUCAUUCCUUGACUUGUGUCAUUUGGGAGCUAUUUAUUUAUUCUUAAUAUUUAAUUUUUAACAUCCUCUCAGGGACCAGGGGCCUCCUGCUUUCCAGAGGCCCAAGUGCAUUUAUCCCAAAACAAGGCAUCUUCUUGGCAUCCACCCCACCCCCCCAUUCCUAACACCCUAAGGUCCCUCACCUUGUUGCUCUGGAAGCUCUUGCCAAUACGAGUGUUAGUAGCCCUGAAAGAGGGUGGAAAGGUGUAAGGUGUCACCAAAGCCACACAAAGACUAGCAGAAGCAAGGAAGGUCAAAGGCAGUUCUCAUUGCUACCUCUUCUCUGGCUGUAUUUUCAAAUUGCUCGAGGGGAUUGGCUGGAAGCCAGAAUUCUAGUUUUCUUUCUGGCUGGAGGAGGCCAUAUUUGGCAUGGAGUCACUGAAGUGAAGGGCUGGAAGGUUCUAGAGGCCCCAUCACUUCCCAUAGGAGGGCCGCGUUAUUUUUCUGAUCUUGUUCUUCAGCGUUAGUUCUGUGAAACGUUCCAAGUGAACGUGAGCAUAGGACAGGUCGGCAGGUUAGGAAGGAGCCAAAAAUCCUGCUAUUCUCCUUACUACCCAAUAGCCUAAAGACAUCCAUGUUCCUAUUUGGGAGCUUGGAGUGGGGAGGGAGUUUUGUUUCUAAACUAUGCACUAACAGGUGUUUUUCAGCAUUCAGUUAUGCAUGAAUACAGUUCUUCAGGACCCCAGCGAUAGGAGUAACAAAAUUCUCCCCGCCAGACUCCAGGACGGCUACCUAGAUCGUCAACUUCCCCAGUUAGUUUCCUCCAAAGGCUUCUUCCAGGACCCAAGUUUGCAAAAAUCUGGUAUGCCCUCCAGAAACAGGAGGGUGGCAAAUUUAAGCUGUCUUCUAAAUCACUUGUGUAAUAAGAGUGCCUUCGCAGCUUCGCCCCAAAGUGCUACUUAUGUUUCCUGAGGUUUUUUCUAUUUAAACAGUAUUUUGUUUCAGGCCCCCCUGUGGACAUGUGGUAAGAGGAACCUCCUUGUUUAGAGAGAUUCUCCUCCUCUACGCUCACAGGAAUCAGACUAGGCAAAUAUUGGUGGAAAAAAUCAAGGUGGUACCUCUGUAUUAAUUCCACCAGACACUGUAUUUUCGAAGGGCUCGUGCUCCAGGAUGGAUUUAGAUCUAGAAUACACGGUGAAAGUUAAAAUGUGUAGAGGGCAAUGCCAUUGUUCCAAGUGACCUGCCAAUAAAGUAGGUGCAGCCAUAGGAGCUGGGAUGGGUAUAUCCUUUAAUGGUGCUUUCUCUCUGUGAACACAGUAGGCUUAUCUUUUUUUUUUUUCCCUUGUUCUCUUCUAUUCAGAGCUGUUUGCUUUAAGAAGUUAAAUGACAAACACCUCCAGCUUUAUAAUGUCCUCCCCACACCAUCUCACAUAGCCAUCUUCCAGUCUCCAUCUACACUUAGCUAAGGGCAUGAAACUAACCUAGUGCCUGUGUCCCAGACCAUUUCUGAGGUGUCUUACCCACCCAAGGAGACUGUGCUUCAGCGCACUGUCCUCCAUGCCUUCAGCAGCCCCCCUCACAGCUAAGGUACACCCUCAUCCCUUCUGACCCCACCACCACCCCUGGCACAGAGGUCAUGUGCUGCUUAUGUCUAGAGAAUCCCCUAUAUUUAACUGCCUCAGUGACCUAACCUCUUUCUUCUCAUGUGCCAGAUGUUAAGAUGAAGGAGGAAUACAACACAUACUCAAGCCUCAGCUGUUUAAAUAUAUUUUCACUGGGGCUCUCUUUUUUUUCGAACGGUAUUUAUUACCAGACUGGCAAGCCUAACUCCUUAGGUUUACAGGAAGUAUGCACAUUUUUAUAAAACAAUUGUAUGUCCUCCCCAUAUUUCGCUGUGUUAAUGUUUGCCUCUAACAAUUUGCAGCUGUUUCACCUUUUCCUCAUUUGUCUUUAAGUUGAAGGUCUUGUGUGGAGGGGACAGCACAGGAACAGCCUUGACAGUCUGUAAUUAUUGUACAAAUAUUUUAAUAGCAUAUAAAUAAGUAUAUUCCUUUUAUUUUGGAAAAAAAAAACAUGAUCAGACACUGCCUUUUGUGUGUUUGCUGCCUGUGGCACCCUUUUUUAAAAAGACUGUUACAUAUUAAAAUAGUGUAUAUAUAUAUAUAUAUAUAUAAAUAUUACCUCUUUUGCUGUACAGUUGUGAUAGACCAGACUGAAGAUUUUAUUUUUUGUGUGCUUUUUAUAAAAAAGAAAAAAUAACACACUAAAGUAAAUCUUGCGGAUGUGAUUGUAAUGUACCUAUGUAACUUAUUUACUUUUGAAUGUUCUUCUGUAUCUUUAAACCUUUUAUUAAAUAAGGUUUUAAAAAUU
This 3170-nucleotide long non-coding RNA is filed under the name Canis lupus familiaris (dog). Its description in RNAcentral is "lncRNA (ENSCAFG00000052532.1)". The record is from RNAcentral. Lineage: Eukaryota; Metazoa; Chordata; Mammalia; Carnivora; Canidae.